CCAAGCUUCGUUGCGGGAGCUUGUAACCCGAGUGGGGGCAUUAAAGUGGUUCGGAUGUUGGGUCACGCUCCCGAGUCUGGGUUCAAGUGGUGCGAAUGGUUGGCUAGCCCGUUCCAAGUGGAGUAGCGAGAUAUGCGCCUUGAGCGAAAGCUUGGGUCGCGCAUCUCCUGAAGAGGAGGGAACAGCGUUAGGCUGGUUUCACAGAGCAGCGAACACCUCCCGCUCUCAACAGUGGAAGGACAACUAGCCGCCGCCCCUGAGGCCCUCCGCGGCUCGCGGGCAGACCAAUAGCGGACAACCACUUUUUUUUUUUCUAAUUUUUUUUUGUGGGUAAAUUAUCUCUAUUCUCACUUUUAAUGAAUUCAUAUUUGACUAUUAGUUAUUAUAUUUUUUAGGUAUAAAAGAAUUGCUAACCAAGUUGCAAGAUUCAUCCGAGACAUAAUUUCAAGCUAGAUAUGAACAUUUUGAUUUGGGUCACACUUGGAUGAGUCUUUGGCUUUAACAGUUUUUAUUGGCCGGGCCAAAGCUUGUCCAAUCGAGUUAGCCCGAGUCCAAAAUCAUGACCCAAAAGGUAAGCAAGAUGGGUCCGGCUUAGUGUCAGCCCUACCCAUUUGCAGAUAUAGGCAUUCAGCAGUAGUCUAUAUAUUCAAUGUGUCAUCUGCUAGCGUGACAUCCAAUUCCAAAUUCAACAAGGACAUAGGUAUAUAUUAUCGUCAUCUAGUAAUACAUAAAUGUCAACAAAUUAUGAGGCUAUAACUAUAGUCAUGCUUUUUUUUGCUCCACCAUAAUGAAGGAUAGCAAGCUUCCCAUCCCAGUGAUUCCAAGCACCACUUUUGUACCUUGUCCUGAGGGUAAUUAGCACACACACCCCCUAUCCUGCUCCUGUCCUACCUAUCAAAGACCAAGCCACUAAGUCCCACCAAUCCAUCACAAUCCUCUGAUUAACCAUCAGAUGUCUCCCAUCAUGUUAUGUUAGCUGCAUAGCAUUGAUUGAUGCUACUUAACCAGUGUAGCUUAAGGGUCUAAUUGUACAAUUCCUGCUCCAUAUCAGAACUAAUUCUAGGGCACCACAAUCCGAGUCUGCCAAUCAGACAUCUUAUUCACAUGAUAACAGUUCUGAAAGUCUUUCUGAACGAGCUUAAUCACACUCGAGGUCUUCUUGUUGCCCACAAGAAUAUGAGCUUAGUUUCUGUGUUUUUAUUGUUUUGUUCAGUUAUUACUAAAUUUCAUCAGAAUCUGUCAGAACUGGAUCUGUCUAUAGGUGGACACAACGAAACUUAUUUUCCUAAUCUCCGAUGUUCUAAUUCUACAAACCACAAACCUCCCAGACUGCCAUCUAGGAUCAGAAAUCCAAAGUCUUGAGCUUCCUAGAAAUCCUUGAUUUGAUAAUAGGGCUAAUCUCCUCGAUUCUGACAUCUAGAAUUCUCAUCACUUGUUGCAAAUAUUCCAUGUCCUUUUAUGCAAACCUUUUACCACUUAAAUUUCAUGAAAAGUUCCGAUGCAGUAUAGGUGGGAUAAGGCUUGCAGGUUGGAAACUUUCAUCCAGAUUAACCAUUAGAAAGAAAAACUAAUUUGCAUUAGUGAAGGAUUCAACUCAUGAUAAGGUCUUGCCCAAAGAAAUGAAAGAAGGCUGGUCGUUAUGCUCUGACAACCAGCUGACUAUAAAUAUUGACGAAUUUAUUUGAUUAUGACCCAACUUUCAGGUUCGUCCCAAUACGAAGGAAACAAAACCCACGGCCUUUGCAAAACCAUAGAUUGCCAGAAGCCAUGUGACGAGGCAUGCAGCUCAAAAUGAGCCUGCCUGCGCAAAAGGAGGAGAUCAGGCUUCGAGAUGCCAUGAACAGUGUUGGGGGAAUGUAAGUCGCUCCCUAAGCACUUGAGCGCGCCAACGGCCCACGACCUCGGAAUCGCCCGACCCCGGACAUCCGACCGGACGCCCGACCGCGUCCGACCUGGCGCCCCGCCAGGCGUCUAACUUCAGAGCUCUUGACCUCGGAAGUCCGACCUCGUCGCUUACCUACCGCGGUCGCAUCCUUCGGAAGUCCGGUCAUGGGCCAUACCCUGUCACCGCCCCCAGCAUUCAAUGCGCAUGGUCUUUGCAGACCCCCGGCUCACUCAACGUUUAAUGUAUAUCUCCGGCUCACUCAACAAUUAAUGCAUAUCUCCGGCUUACUCAACAAUUAAUGUAUAUCUCCGGCUCACUCAACAAUUAAUGCAUAUUUUCGGCUUACUCCACAAUUAAUGCGCGUGGCUCCUAUUAUCUACGGAUCUUCGGUCCUCCACGGCAAAUCAGCUCGGCAGUGUUCGGUCAGCCGUGACAACUCUCUGAUCCCGGCCUCACCUCCGACAUCAAGGUAUUAAUUCACCUGAUCGCGCGCCAACUCAUGCGACGUGCUAAGCCGUACGGCAACCUCGCCCCAUCACAUCACAGGUAACCCAACACUCCCUAUAAAAAGGGGACCCCUCCAUCCUAGAGGGGGUUGGACUCUGAAACCCGAAAAAGUAUAUCUUCCUCCUCUCUCCUCCCCCACAGAUUGGCCCCCUCUGACUUAAGCAUCGGAGGGCCGGCGCCGGAAACCCCAGCCACCGGCUUUCUUGCAGAUCUCUCGGAGGAUGCUGCCCGCCGACGGAUCACCGCCCGCCAGUUCUCGCCGGAGCUCCUCCUUCCCGCGGACAGGUCAUCCCCGGGUCCCGUUUCCAGCAACAGUUGGCGCUAGAGGAAGGGUCCGAGUCGCGGCCAUGAAGUUGAGAAGUAAAGGAGCCUCCAACGCUUUCCGGCGUCUUCCGUCAAGUCCUGGACACUCUGUCCAGAACUCACUUUCUUCGGCUGAUCCGGUUUCUCAAGUUCAACCGGAGCAGUUCAACGUCCUGGUGCAGCAAGUCCAGGCUUUGGCCGCCGCCGUCCAAGGCCUGCGGCAUGAGGAAGCCCCACCUACGCUGCCUCCGCAGGCCCAGAUCCCGCCGGAGCUUCCUCCGAAUGGCCCGAUCCUCCUGGGCCAGAAUCUUCAUGGCUCUUCCAGGGCCAAUAACGAAGAAAGAGCGUCACCCCAGAGAGAGCUGCCAGGGGGAAGCCUAGACAGAAGACUGCAGCUCUUAGAAGCCGAGUCGGCCCCGGACCGCCGCGAGUCGGAGCAGACUACUGUGGCAAUCUCCCAGGCCGGGGAGCUCGAUAGGAAGGUCGAGAAUCUUGAGCGCCAGAUCGAGGCGCUUCACAGCAGAAAGGCAAGGCNNNNNNNNNNNNNNNNNNNNNNNNNNNNNNNNCCCCUUUUCCCGCCAGAUCGAGGAUGAGCCGGUUCCACCCAGAUUCAAAAUGCCCCAGGUGGAGCCCUACCACGGGACUACCGACCUCCUCGAUCAUUUGGAGAGCUACCGAGCCCUCAUGGCAUUGCAAGGGUCUUCGGAGGCCGUGCUCUGCAAGGCCUUCCCAGCUACUCUGCGGGGAUUGGCUCGGCUUUGAUUUUCGGGACUGAAGCCGAGCACAGUCUCCUCUUUUGAGCAGCUCGGCAGGCAGUUUGCCACCAACUUCGUUGCCAGCCGGCGCCAGCGGCGAACGUCGGACUCGCUCCUGGACGUCAAGCAGCGGGAGGGAGAAUCUCUCAGGGAGUAUCUCGACCGUUUCACCGCUUCAACCUGGGAGGUCCGCGAGCUCGACCAGUCGAUAGCCAUGUCGGCGCUGAAGACUGGGGCUCGCUCCUACAGAUUUCUCUUCUCUAUCAAGAAGAGCUUCCCUGCCGACUUCACCGAGAUGCUGGCCCGAGCUCGAAAAUACGCGAAGGCCGAGGAGGCUAUCGCCUCUAGGCGAGGUGCGAUCGAGCCGGCUUCCAAGAAGCAGAAGAAGCGCCACGAGGAACGUGGCCACCCGGAAAGUCGAUCUCCCCGCCAGGAUGGGAACCUGCCUCGACUAAGGAGCCCGCCUCGGCAGCAGAGACGGUUUCGAUCAAGGUCCCAGCCUCGACCCAGAUCCCCGCUACGGCCUCGGAUGCACUCGGGGAGGUACGAGAACUACACUCCCAUCAACGCAUCUCGGGCCGAGAUCCUGAUGGAGAUCGAAGGUCGGGAUUUCUUCCGACCCCCACCCCCGAUGCGGGACAUAGGAGUCCCGCGUAAUCCCAGAAAGUACUGCCGCUUCCACCGGGACCACGGCCAUGAUACGGAGGAUUGUUUCCAGCUCCGAGACGAGAUUGAGGCGCUCAUCCGCCGCGGGGUACUCAACCGGUUCGUGCGGGGCCGGCGUGAGGAAAGGAGGCCGGCAGAAAACGCCGUACAACCCGAAAAUCCAAAUGAUAAUAGGCCCAUCGCCGGCACCAUCAAUGUAAUUGGAGGAGGAAGCCCGGCUGGAGAGCCAGCCCAAGAGGGGAUUCCCCCAAAGCGCCCGCGCACUUCCGAAGCCAUCUCGUUCUCGGACAAGGAUUUGGAAGGGGUUGAGACCCCUCACGAUGAUGCUGUGGUCAUCUCUAUAAUUGUAAACAAGUUUGAUGUAAAGCGUGUCUUAGUUGAUAAUGGAAGCUCGGCUAAUGUUUUGUACUUUGACGCCUAUUCUAGAAUGGGGAUGGCAGAGAAGCAAUUACAGAGGAUGAACGCCCCGCUGGUCGGAUUUACUGGAGACUCAGUUCCAGUGGAGGACGAGAUCGAUCUCCUGAUCACGGUCGGGCUCGCCCCCCGAGAGAGUACCGUGAGGAUGGAUUUCCUCGUGGUGCGUUUGCCCUCGGCCUAUAAUGCCAUCCUUGGAAGACCAGGGCUCAACGCUCUUCAAGCCGUGGUCUCAACCUGCCACCUACUUAUGCGGUUCCCCACCGGCCAAGGAGUCGGCGAAGUCCGUGGGGACCAGGCGGUAGCAAGGCGAUGCUACAUGGCGACCCACGAAGCGAAACAACCAGCCAAAGUGUCGGCCUCGACAUUAGAUGGCAAGCUCGCGGCCGAAACCUUAGAGGCACGGGUCGGCCCACAGAAGAAGCGGGUAGAGCCUGGUGAGCUACUCACCCAAAUUUCCUUACGAGAAAAUUGCCCUGAGCUAACCGUGCAGGUCGGCUCCGGCCUUGAUGCCCGCGAAAGGGAACGCCUUAUCAACUUUCUACAGGCCAACAUGGACGUCUUCGCCUGGUCGCCUGCCGACAUGCCGGGAAUAGAUCCGGAGGUCGCAGUCCACCGACUCCAAGUAAAACCGACCUGUAAGCCCGUGCGACAAAAGAAGCGAAAUGCCGCUCCAGAGCGACAACGAGCAGCGGCCGAGGAAGUCGACAAACUCCUCAAGGCCGGCUUCAUCCGGGAGAUAUCUUAUCCGGAGUGGCUCGCCAAUGUGGUCCUCGUCGAAAAGGCUAGCGGAAAGUGGCGCAUGUGCGUGGACUACACCGACCUGAACAAGGCUUGCCCGAAGGACAGCUUGCCACUCCCUAGCAUCGACCAGCUCAUGGACUCUGCCUCGGGACAUGAGCUGUUGACAUUCAUGGACGCCUUCUCAGGGUACAACCAGAUACGGAUGGCGCCGGAAGAUGAAGAAAAGACAGCCUUUAUUACUGACGGGAGCACCUAUUGUUACAAAGUGAUGCCCUUCGACUUAAAGAAUGCUGGAGCAACUUAUCAAAGGCUGAUCAGCCAAAUCUUCAAAGACCAAAUAGGCCGAAACAUGGAGGUCUAUGUCGACGACAUGCUGGUAAAGAGUCGAAUGACGAAGGAUCAUGUGGCUGACCUCGACGAAGCAUUCUCCAUGCUUCGAAAGCACCGGAUGAAGCUCAAUCCCGCGAAAGGUGCAUUUGGAGUCACCUCGGACAAGUUCUUCGGCUUUGUGAUCACCCAACGGGGAAUUGAAGCCAACCCCGAGAAGAUCCGAGCGCUCCAAGAGAUGGUGCCCCCAAGGACAGUUAAAGAGGUGCAGCGGCUUACGGGACGGGUUGCAGCUCUCGGAAGAUUUGUUUCCCGAUCGGCCGAGCGUUGUCUUCCGUUCUUCGCGACUCUCAAGCGGCCGAAGAAUUUUUUGUGGUCGGCGGAGUGCCAGCAAGCUUUCGAAGAGCUUAAGCGUCUCCUCGCUUCUCCUCCUUUGCUCACAAAGCCUCAGCAGGGUGAGCUCCUUUAUCUGUACCUGGCUGUUUCUCCAGUUGCAGUGAGCUCGGUCCUGGUUUGAGAGGAGAGCAAGCUUCAGAGAUCGGUAUACUACACUAGCCGGGUCUUGAGGGAUGCCGAGACCCGAUACUCCAAGCUGGAAAAGACCAUCUUUGCCCUAGUUGUCUCGGCUCGGAGACUUCGGCCCUAUUUUCAAGCUCACACGGUGGCCGUGUUGACCGACCAGCCGAUGAAGCAGAUCCUGCAACGAUCAGACCGUGCUAGCCGAAUUACAAAGUGGGCCGUCAAGCUCGGAGAGGUCGACCUCGAGUACCGACCCAGAUCGGCGAUCAAAGCGCAGGCGCUCGCCGACUUUAUAGUCGAGUGCACUGUGCCAGACGAGGCCGAGUUCGAGCGCGCACCAACGGAGCAGACCCCGAGGUCGACGUGGACUCUGCACGUCGACGGUUCUUCGAACUCGAGGGGUAGUGGAGCGGGCCUCAUCCUCACCAGUCCAGAUGGAGUGGUCGCCGAGCAGGCUCUACGUCUCGAGUUUUCCGCCUCCAACAAUGUGGCGGAAUACGAGACACUCAUCGCCGGGCUCAAGUUGGCAAGGAAGCUGGAAGUGGAGGACCUACAGGCCUUCAGCGACUCCCAACUGGUUGUGAACCAAAUCUUGGGCGACUUCGAAGCCAGAGAGCCCACGAUGCAGGAAUAUCUUCGGAAAGUGCGGGAUCUCACCUCGACCCUGAGCUCUUUCUACAUCCAACACAUUGCCAGGUCGGAGAACCUCAGAGCAGAUCAACUGUCAAAGUUGGCAUCCUCUCGCAUGAGCGAGCUUCCCAAAGCGGCAGCGCUGGAGUACCUCCAAAAACUCAGCACGGAGAAACCCGAGCCAGCCUUUUGCAUCGAAAUCGAGCCGAGCUGGAUGGACGAGCUCGUCAGCUAUCUACAAAAUGAAGUCCUCCCCAAUGACGAACGCGAGGCUCGCCGAGUCAAGCGUCUAGCCGCUCGGUACAUAUUGUACGAAGGCAGGCUUUAUCGGAGAUCUUUCACCUCUCCCCUCCUCAGAUGCCUCCGCCCGACAGAGGCGGAUUAUGCAAUGCGCGAAGUCCAUGAAGGGAUUUAUGAAAAUCAUCUCGGAGGCCGAGCGCUGGCGCACAAGAUUUUGCGCCAGGGAUAUUACUGGCCGACACUCCAGAAGGAUACGCUAGACUUCGUCCGGAGAUGCGACCGAUGCCAGAGGAACGCCAACAUCCAACGCCGACCCUCGGCCCUGCUGACCUCGAUCAGUUCCUCCUGGCCAUUUGCCCAAUGGGGAAUUGAUAUUCUGGGACCAUUUUCCCUGGCAAUCGGGCAAAGAAAAUUUUUGGUCGUCUCCAUCGACUAUUUUACUAAAUAGGUGGAAGCCGAGCCAGUCGUCCGGAUCACCAAGCAGAAGAUGCGGGACUUCGUUUGGAAGUCAAUAAUCUGCAGAUUCGGACUCCCCCGCAUCCUUAUAUCAGACAACGGUUGCCAGUUUGACAACGCUCGCUUCAGAGAGUUCUGCUCCGAGCUCGGCAUCGACCACCGCUUCACCUCGGUCGCGCAUCCUCAGACAAAUGGAGAAACCGAGGUAACGAAUCGUACUAUUUUGCAGGGGCUCAAAGCCAGGCUCGAACAGUCCAGGGGACAGUGGGUCGAAGACCUAUACAACGUCCUGUGGGCUUAUCGGACCACGUUCCGUGUACCCACCGGCGAAACUCCUUUCAAUUUGACAUAUGAAACGGAAGCCGUCAUUCCGUUGGAGAUCGGGCUCCCUUCUCCGAGGGUAGAGCAUUAUGACGCCGACUCCAGCUUCUUGCAGCUCAGAAACAACCUGGACCUAAUCAAGGAGACAAGGAAAGCCGCCCGAAUCCGCAUGGCGAGGUACCAGCAAAAGACGGCGCAAUACUACAACGCCAAAGUCAAAGUCAAGUCCUUCAAGGUGGGAGACCUCGUCCUCAGAAGAGCUGAAGCCUCUCAGCCGACCGAGCGAGAAAAUUGGCUCCGAACUGGGAAGAGCCCUACCGGGUCGUGUGCGUCCAGCGACCCGGAGCGUACAAGCUGGAGUCUCUUGACGGGAGCCCAAUUCCACGAAGCUGGAGCUCCGAAAACCUCCGGGUGUAUCACCAAUAGAACCCCAAGGGGUUCUCUAUUUGGAGCAUAAGUCUCAUCUUUUUACAAUAACUUAUCUGCAAUUGUUUCAUUGUGCUGUGUUUCUCCUGAUGUCUAAAUAUUUCGUAAUUCUUAGACAACCCGGCCCAGCUCGGACGCCCGACACAACUCAGAUGCCCAACACAACUCGGAUGCCCGACCAAGAUCGGAUGCCCCAGCCAAGCCUGGAACGCCCAGACGCGCCGAUAUCGAGCUCGGUCUCGAUCUCCCUCAGAGACCUCGACUAAGUUCGGGAUGCCCCGAGUGUCAACCGUAGAGUCCCAAACUCCCUCGAUCUCGGAAAGCGUCGCAGGUCGACAGUGCGUCCCUAGACCCCUCGACCUUGCGCACGAUUCUCCGACUAAGGUCGGGAUGCCCCGCUGAGUCGACAGUGAGCCCAAGCUCCUUCGGCCUCGGAAAGAUGGGAUAGUACCUUCGCGGCCCUNNNNNNNNNNNNNNNNNNNNNNNNNNNNNNNNNNNNNNNNNNNNNNNNNNNNNNNNNNNNNNNNNNNNNNNNNNNNNNNNNNNNNNNNNNNNNNNNNNNNNNNNNNNNNNNNNNNNNNNNNNNNNNNNNNNNNNNNNNNNNNNNNNNNNNNNNNNNNNNNNNNNNNNNNNNNNNNNNNNNNNNNNNNNNGGGAUGCCCCGUGUGUCGACCGUAGAAUCCCAAACUCCCUUGACCUCGGGAAGCGUCACCAGGUCGACGGCGAGCCCAAGCUCCCUCGGCCUCGUGCUCGAUACCUCGACCAAGGUCGGGAUGCCCCGUGUGUCGACCGUAGAGUCCUAAACUCCCUCGACCUCGGGAAGCAUUACCAGGUCGACAGCGAGCCCGGGCUCCCUCGACCUCGGGAAGACGGGAUAAUACCUUCGCGGCCCUCUGUGACUCGACAACAGCGACGGGAUAACGCCUACGCAAGUCCCCGACGACAGCGACAUCUCCCAGCAUGCCGGUGUCCCCAGAGCGGAUCUCAGGCCAAAAAAAAAAACGCCUCUGAAAGCUGACCGAGGAACGAAACGGCCUGCUUCAACAUGGGGCACCUGAUUUCGAAGGUGCAAAAGGUACAUCCCAUUUAGCACCUGCUCCAUUACAUUUAUUUGCUUAUGUAUCGCCAGUGAGAUCCCAAUCAAGCUCGGGAUCCCUCCCGACCAAGGUCGGGAUGCUCUUCUGAACCAACCCAAGGCUGAGGUCCCGGCGACCCCGUGCAUGUUUUCUUUAUUUAUGACCUCUGAAUGAGGGCUCAGCCAAGCCCGAACACCAGGAAGUCGACGUCCGUGCGUAGCAAUGACCUCGACCUUUGAUGCUCUGGUCGACUUCAAAAGUGCCAAGGCACCCACCAUAUAUUCUUAUUUUGCUUGUCGGUACCUCGACCAAGUCCGAGGCCAAUAGCCGCGAAGACCCUAGCGGCAACUUUACUUCGGUUUACAGUCCUCUCGGGGACCGACCCUACAAUUUUUCGUGAACUUACGUCUGAAAAAGCAGAGCUCAAAAACUUGGCCGAAUACUCCAGAAGAUGAAUCUGGAAGCCUAGCAAAGCCUCUUGUGGGGUCUGAGGCCCAACUUCGGUGCUUUAAAAAUUCGAGAGCAAGGCUCAAGGACCUGGCAAACUACGAACCGAGCUCAAAGAUUUAGUGAAUUUUCCUAAGGUUUGAGCCCGGCGCCAAAAGGCUCUUCAUCGGACCUAAGCUUGAUAAUCUGGCGAACGUAAUCCGAACCUAAGUCUAUGAGUUUAGCCGAACUCCAGUACUUAGGAAAAUUCGCCAGGAGGGAAUCAACUCGGACGAUUAAAGUAAAGCCCUAUUCGUUACGCAAAGAAGAGAAAAGCAGACAUGAAUUUAUAAAGAAAGCUCUCUCAUUAAUGGAAGGCCCGAAGGUUGGAGUACAAAAUUGAGGGUCGGCCAAACAACAAGUUUGAAGGCCAACCUCGCUUAUAAUAAAAGAAAAACAAAAGAAGAUAAGUCCUAGGGGGCUACGGCCUCGUUAAUGCCAGGAUCGUCCACGACGAUCACUUGGGGGCCCUCGGCGGAACUCAGCUCGGGACCCCCCGCGGCCGGCUCAGGUACCUCCCCAGUAAGAGCCUCUUGAACCGAUCGAUCAGCCUCGGCGGCCUCGGGUUCGGCAACCUGUCCCUCAACCUCGAUUCUGGCGGCCUCGGGUUCGGCAACAUGUCCCUCGACCUCGGUUCCGACGGCCUCCUCCUCGUCCUCAAGUGCGGAGGGCAAACCGAACUCAUCACCGAAUCCUGAUUUCGACCGGAUCCCAGACAGGUCGAACUGAGGGCAAUACCGAGCCAUUUGUCUUCGAAAAUUUUCGAAGCCCCGGAGGAACCCGUCCACGGUCUCCUCCUCCAACAUAUCGCGGAACUCUUCCGACUCUUUGAAGAGCUUCCCGGCAUUCUCGGCCCGCUCGAGCGCCCUUCUCUUCCAGGCCUCAAGCUGCUCGACCUUUAGGCGGAGAACUCCACCCUCAUAUUUAUAGCCGGCGGCUUCAGAGUGGGCCUCCGCAAGACGUGCCUCAGAGUCGUGCAGCGCCGUCCUCGUUAGGGCAUGCGCGGCCCUCUCUUCCUCGAGCUCAUCGGCGAUUGCUCGCCGACCGGCCUCGGUGGCCUCCCUCCGAGCGACGGCCUCAGUUAGCGCGGCCUCCGACUCCGCGAGCUUCUUCUUGGCCGAUUCCUGUUGUUUGCGGAAUCGCCGAGACUCAUUCUAGCAUUCCGAGGCAAUGAAUACCAGAGUGUCUAUUUCAUGAAUAUGCUACAGGAAAAAUAACAAUGAGUAAGAGAAAAGAAAAUGUCGACGACUAAGGACAAAAUAAGAGGACAGCUUAUCCGAGCAGUGUUGCAGUAUGUCUGGUCGACAAUCUCUUCGAGACCGAGAUUCCUGAAGUCGGCCUGGUCGGCCGGGAGCAUUGCGCGACGAAAGACGGCGCGCGCAACGUCACCAUCCCGGAAGGCCGAGCUGCCCUCCGGGAUCGGGGAUUCCGGGUCGGCCGACUCCCUUCCGGAACACCCCCGGGGCCCCUGCUCGGCUCGGGCCCCGAGCGCCGCAGGCGCAAGGCCGGCCGACCCGCUUGUUGAGAAACGGGGGCAGGAUGUUCCGAAGGCGCCGAGUCCGAUGCCCCCCUGGAACCCGAGCUCGUAUGCUCGGCGACUGGGACCCCUUCCCGGACGGACCCCGACGCUCCGGCCUCGGAACCCCUCACCUCGGCAGGGGUAGAAGCAGCAGCCAACUUGGCCUUUUUUCUGGGCUCGGGAACAGCCCCACCUGCUUCGGCUGACCUCCGUUUCAGCCGGAAGAAGAGAGAUGUGUUGCUAGUCGGCAUUCGGGGAAUGUCUGAAAUAAAAAAAGAGAAGAAGAAAAAAUUCUAAGAAAAGAGAGAAAAAAACGAAUAAGGUAAAGACAAAACAAUGUGACCGCUCUUACCCUCCGGACGUGCCGAACUCAGGCCAACGCUCGCCAAGGCACCCUCUUUUAGGAGGUCGGUCAGGUUGAAAUCCUUCCCGAGGCCCCGCGGAGCGUUAAGGACCCUCUGCUCGCUCGCCGAGGGCUCGGAGAUCCUGUUAAGGGCCUUCAGCCGGGGGUGCCCCCACUUGGGUCGAAUCCCCAUGACACCUCGGAUGCAAGAAAGAAAAAUCUUCCCUUUCACUCAUGAAUAGAGGAAGGGGCACCUUGGAAAAGUGACAUACCGCUCCGAAAGGCGAAAUAUAGCCACUCUCCAUCCGUCGGGUUUGUCUUUAAUAAAAAACACCGGCGAAAAACGCUCACCGAAGUCGGAAUCCCGUGCGCAAGGCAAAGGGACAAGAAUCCGACGAUGGUCCUCCAUGAAUUCGAAGCAAGCUGUGCUGGGACGAGUUGGUACUCCACCAGCAGGCUGUUCACGAACUCAUGGAGAGGGAACCGUAAACUAGCCCAGAGCGUCUCGAGAUGAAUCCCGAUCCGACCUGGGGUCGGCCGCGUCACCCUAUCCUCCCGCCUCGCGGUUUNNNNNNNNNNNNNNNNNNNNGAAUCCGACGAUGGUCCUCCAUGAAUUCGAAGCAAGCUGUGCUGGGACGAGUUGGUACUCCACCAGCAGGCUGUUCACGAACUCAUGGAGAGGGAACCGUAAACCAGCCCAGAGCGUCUCGAGAUGAAUCCCGAUCCGACCUGGGGUCGGCCGCGUCACCCUAUCCUCCCGCCUCGCGGUUUUGAGAUGAAACCCGGGCCGGAAAAAGAACCGGGUACGGACCAGUUCCAGCUUCUCCCCCGACAGACUAGAUCCAAUCUCAUCCGAACCAAGACCCAUUUUAGAAGAAAGAAAAACAACCAAAAGAGGAAGAAGACGAGAAAAAGCCCAAAAAAGAAGAAGAAGAGGGACCCCCUAGCUAACGCAGGAAGGAAACCUAUGGGGGGAACCGCCGGAGAUCGCUCCGAGCACCGUCGGGGAAGCUCUGUUGCGACUGAGAAAGAAGACAAGAGGAUAGAAACGGCGGAAAAAAGGGAGCAACCAAGCAAGACCUCCCUUUGAGCCAGAUUGAGGGGUUUAUAUAAACCUUUCUAACGGCCCAGAUCGGCAGAGCUGGUUUCCACCCCUCAUCCAGAUCACGCCACGUGUCGGCCUCGGAAGCCGAAGCAGCGCAUUCAUUCUGGGCUGAUGCCUCGAGUACAGAAUCGAGGCGAUGUCCCGUCGGAUCCCGAAGCCCCAUCAUGAGCUCACUAUACGAAGCAACCUCGAAGGACGAAGGGGCAUCGCCCCCUCUUCCCCCAUUAAGGACGCCCCGAAACGUGCGGAGCGCCAGAAUAAUUUAAGAUUCACUGGUCCCCACUAGUUUAAUAAUGGCAGUUACUUUCUGAGCCCGAGCUCGCGAAACGACUCGAACUCGGAAGUCGGGGGGUAGUGUUGGGGGAAUGUAAGUCGCCCCCUAAGCACAUGAGCACGCCAACGGCCCACGACCUCGGAAUUGCCCGACCCCGGACACCUGACCUGGCGCCCGACCUCGGACGUCUGACCGGACGCCCGACCUGGCGCCCCGCCAGGCGUCUAACUUCAGAGCUCUUGACCUCGGAAGUUCGACCUCGCCAACUCAUGCGACGUGCUAAGCCGUACGGCAACCUCGCCCCAUCACAUCACAGGUAACCCAACACCCCCUAUAAAAAGGGGACCCCUCCAUCCUAGAGGGGGUUGGACUCUGAAACCCGAAAAAGUAUAUCUUCCUCCUCUCUCCUCCCCCACAGAUUAGCCCCCUCUGACUUAAGCAUCGGAGGGCCGGCGCCGGAAAUCCCGGCCACCGGCUUUCUUGCAGAUCUUCCGGAGGAUGCUGCCCGCCGACGGAUCGCCGCCCGCCAGUUCUCGCCGGAGCUCCUCCUUCCCAGCGGACAGGUCACCCCCGGGUCCCAUUUCCAGCAACAAACAAAAGCCAUGAUCAGUUCUUUGGUUCAGUGAAGAGAGAGAACAGGCAGUGGGGUGGGGAGUGGUACCAUCUCCCCAAUGGACAGUUUUGCAUCAGUGAAGAGAGAGAACAGGGAACCGAAGCUUGAGGUCGCAAGAACAAGGAUGAGGCUGACUGAUUUAGAAAAAGAUCAUGUCUCAAUGAAACAAGAGUUUGUUCACAAUGUAAAAGUAUCAUUCUAAUUGGUGAAGCCGGUCAUGAAUCCUUGACGGCUCCUAUCCCAUCUACAAUGUCCUUUUCCCUCCUACCACAUCCAGCAGCACCGAAUUUAACUCCCCUGGACCUCUCUUCACCUCCCCACCCCUCUCCAAACCCAAACGACCUCACUCAUAACCACCUCUGGCUUUCUCCAGCUCCCUCUCUCUUCUUCUCACGUUUCCAGCUGUUGCUGGAAAUGGGAUCUGGAGGCGACCGUUGGCUGAGAAGAAGAAGCUCCAGCAAGUGGUGUGGCGGUGGGCUGCGUCCUCCGGGGGACCUGCAAGAAGCAGGUGGCUGGAGUUUCCGGCGCCGGCCCUCCGAUGCUUAAGUUAGAGAGGGACUCUUAUGGAGAGAAAGAGAUAUUGCAUGUAGAAGUCAAAAGUCAGAAGUCCUCUCCUCUGAGAAGAGGGAGUCUUCCUUUUAUAGGAGGGGUGUCAGGGUUACGUGCGAUGUAACUGUGCGAAUUAAUGAGUUACCGUCAUAAUUGGACGUGAUCGUGUGAAUUAAUGAGUUGCCGUGGAUGACUGGACGUGAUUGAGUCAAUGAGUUGCCGUGGAUGACUGGACGUGAUUGAGUCAAUGAGUUGCCGUGGAUGGCUUGAGAUUUCGGGCUGGCUGGAGGUCCGUGGAGAUCGUGCGCAUUUAACUGUUAACAGUCGCUCAGGCAGAGAUCGCGGGAUUGGAUCCCGGAUAAGGAGGAGAAGGGCUUGAUUUUCGGUGAGAUGGAGAAGUCUGCUUCGUCCUUUGACCGAGUCUUCCUCGGACUUGAGGUCGAUCGGGGUUCGGCUUGGUCGAGAUCAAGGCCGCAAGCUCUGAGGUCGAGCGCCUUCAAGUCGUGCUCCUUUGAGGGUUGCUGCUAUUACGCUCGCCAUCACGUAUCGGUGAUGAAUCCACGUAUUUUGGGGCAAUUCAUUUUUCCCCCGACACCAACCAAUGUCCUCAAAAAUCUUGGACACCGCAGCACCGAAAGCUCAAGGCCACAACCCACCCUCAGUGGGCUUCUGUCGGGCUAAGCCAUCCUCAUCGUCAUCGCCAGCAACCACAGAGCCAGGGAGGUUCCUUGGUGUGAGGAGAAGGCCUUGGGGGAGGUAUGCUGUUGAGAUAAGGGACCCCACGACCAAGGAAAGGCAUUGGCUUGGGACCUUCGACCCUGCCCAAGAGGCUGCCCUGGCCUACGAUAUCGAGGGAAUGCGACGGCUACCAUGGGCAGUCUUACGGCAGCUAGGAAGCCGAUCAUUUUAGUCCCACAUCGCCUGCGUGCAAAAUAAUAUGUUCGUUUAAGAUACAGAAGUCCCGCUCCCUUGAUCGCCGAGCUUCGUUGCGGGAGCUUGUAACCCGAGUGGGGGCAUUAAAGUUGUUUGGACGCUUGGUCAUACCCCCGAGUACAGGCUCAGGUGGUGCGUAUGGAUCCGGCUAGCCCGUUCCAAGUUUGAUUAGUGAGAUGUGCGAUUUGAGCGAAGGCUUGGUUCGCGCAUCUCCUGAAGAGGAGGGAACAGCGUUAGGCUGGUAUCACAGAGCAGCGAACACCUCCCGCUCUCAACGGUGAAAGGACAGUUAGCCGCCGCCCCACUGACCCUCUUAGGCUCGCAGGCAGACCAAUUGUGGACAACCACUUUUUUUUGUCUUUUCUCCGUACCCUUAUUUCUAAGCCCCUCGAAAAAAAAUAGAAUUAGGCUUCAUAUACCUCAAAAAUAAUAUUCAUUCGAUGAGACCGCCUUCUUAAUUAAAAAAACAUAAAUCAUGGUCAGAUAUAUAUAAAAUAUACCCUCCACGCAUGCUUCUAUUCCUAUUUCCUCUACAAAAUAAUAUAUAUUUAAUUUAAUGUAAUUUCAAAAAAUAUAGCCAGAUAAAUAAGAAUAAAUUAUUUCUAUUCCAACUUCUAGUGAAUUCAUUUUUGACUAUCAAUAAUUAUAUUCUUAGGUAUAAAAGAAUUGCUAACCAAGUUGCAAGGUUCAUCCGGCAUAGUUUCAAGCUCGCCCAAUCCAGUCAGCCAACGAGUUAAGUCCGAAUCCAAAAUUAUGACCCAAAAGAUAAGCAAGCUCGGUCCGACCCAAUCCUACCCAUUUGCAGACAUAGACAAAUCAGCAGUCCCUAUAUUCAAUGUGUCAAUGUGUCAUUUGCUAGCGUGACAUCUAAUUCCAAAUUCCAUGAGGACAUAAUUGCAUAUUAUCAUCAAAUAAUACAUACAUGCCAACAAAUUAUGAGGUUACAACUAUCGUCAUGCUUCUUUUUGGUCCACCAUAAAAUUUGCACAUGCACCCCACUAUUCUGAAUUAUCUAUAACAUAUGCUCAAUAAGAUUUUCAUACACAAGAAUAAAAGAAAAUAUACAAA
This 16158-nucleotide long non-coding RNA is filed under the name Phoenix dactylifera (date palm). RNAcentral's name for it is "long non-coding RNA (PDAC_LNC000439)". The stretch from base 1 to 306 matches the Rfam family "Plant signal recognition particle RNA". The record is from RNAcentral. Lineage: Eukaryota; Viridiplantae; Streptophyta; Magnoliopsida; Arecales; Arecaceae.